This 253-nucleotide ribosomal RNA is filed under the name uncultured bacterium. Its description in RNAcentral is "partial 16S ribosomal RNA". It matches the Rfam family "Bacterial small subunit ribosomal RNA", at positions 524 to 776 of the family's 1533-position model. The record is from RNAcentral.
UACAGGGGGGGCAAGCGUUGUUCGGAAUUACUGGGCGUAAAGAGCGUGUAGGCGGCCAAGCAGGUCCGCUGUGAAAACUCGAGGCUCAACCUCGAGACGUCGGUGGAAACCGUUUGGCUAGAGUCCGGAAGAGGAGAGUGGAAUUCCCGGUGUAGCGGUGAAAUGCGCAGAUAUCGGGAAGAACACCCGUGGCGAAGGCGGCUCUCUGGGACGGUACUGACGCUGAGACGCGAAAGCGUGGGGAGCGAACAGG